CCUACGGGGGGCUGCAGUGGGGAAUAUUGCACAAUGGGCGAAAGCCUGAUGCAGCAACGCCGCGUGAGCGAUGAAGGCCUUCGGGUCGUAAAGCUCUGUCCUCAAGGAAGAUAAUGACGGUACUUGAGGAGGAAGCCCCGGCCAACUACGUGCCAGCAGCCGGGGUAAUACGUAGGGGGCUAGCGUUAUCCGGAAUUACUGGGCGUAAAGGGUGCGUAGGUGGUUUCUUAAGUUAGAGGUGAAAGGCUACGGUUCAACCGUAGUAAGCCUUUGAAACCGGGGAACUUGAGUGCCAGAGAGGAGAGUGGAAUGCCUGGUGUAGCGGUGAAAUGCGUAGAUAUUGGGAAGAACACCAGUUGCGAAGGCGGCUCUCUGGACUGUAACUGACGCUGAGGCACGAAAGCGUGGGGAGCAAACAGGAUUAGAUACCCGAGUAGUC
RNAcentral lists this ribosomal RNA (439 nucleotides) under uncultured bacterium. Its description in RNAcentral is "partial 16S ribosomal RNA". It matches the Rfam family "Bacterial small subunit ribosomal RNA", at positions 338 to 795 of the family's 1533-position model. The record is from RNAcentral.